RNAcentral lists this ribosomal RNA (253 nucleotides) under uncultured bacterium. Its description in RNAcentral is "partial 16S ribosomal RNA". It matches the Rfam family "Bacterial small subunit ribosomal RNA", at positions 524 to 776 of the family's 1533-position model. The record is from RNAcentral.
UACGGGGGGAGCAAGCGUUGUUCGGAUUUACUGGGCGUAAAGGGCGCGUAGGCGGCGUGACAAGUCACUUGUGAAAUCUCCGGGCUUAACUCGGAACGGUCAAGUGAUACUGUCGGACUAGAGUACAGAAGGGGCAACUGGAAUUCUCGGUGUAGCGGUGAAAUGCGUAGAUAUCGAGAGGAACACCUGCGGCGAAGGCGGCUCACUGGGGAUUUUCUGACGCUGAGGAACGAAAGCCAGGGGAGCGAACGGG